GAUGAAGAACGCAGCGAAAUGCGAUAAGUAGUGUGAAUUGCAGAAUUCAGUGAAUCAUCGAAUCUUUGAACGCACAUUGCGCCCUUUGGUAUUCCAAAGGGCAUGCCUGUUCGAGCGUCAUUUGUACCCUCAAGCUUUGCUUGGUGUUGGGCGUCUUGUCUCUAGCUUUGCUGGAGACUCGCCUUAAAGUAAUUGGCAGCCGGCCUACUGGUUUCGGAGCGCAGCACAAGUCGCACUCUCUAUCAGCAAAGGUCUAGCAUCCAUUAAGCCUUUUUUUCAACUUUUGACCUCGGAUCAGGUAGGGAUACCCGCUGAACUUAAGCAUAUCAAAGCGGAGGA
This 339-nucleotide unclassified non-coding RNA is filed under the name soil metagenome. Its description in RNAcentral is "partial contains 5.8S ribosomal RNA, internal transcribed spacer 2, and large subunit ribosomal RNA". The stretch from base 1 to 120 matches the Rfam family "5.8S ribosomal RNA", at positions 35 to 154 of the family's 154-position model. The record is from RNAcentral.